CCUACGGGAGGCAGCAGUGAGGAAUAUUGGUCAAUGGGCGAGAGCCUGAACCAGCCAAGUCGCGUGAGGGAGUACUGCCCUAUGGGUUGUAAACCUCUUUUGUCGGGGAGCAAAAGCCGGACGUGUCCGGCUGUGAGAGUACCCGAAGAAAAAGCAUCGGCUAACUCCGUGCCAGCAGCCGCGGUAAUACGGAGGAUGCGAGCGUUAUCCGGUUUUAUUGGGGUUAAAGGGGGCGCAGGCGGAUUUUUAAGUCAGCGGUCAAAUCGUGGGGCUCAACCCCAUCCAGCCGUUGAAACUGGGGAUCUAGAGUGUGCGAGAGGUAUGCGGAAUGCGGGGUGUAGCGGUGAAAUGCAUAGAUAUCACGCAGAACCCCGAUUGCGAAGGCAGCAUACCGGUGCACAACUGACGCUCAGGCACGAAAGCGUGGGUAUCGAACAGGAUUAGAUACCCCAGUAGUC
This 458-nucleotide ribosomal RNA is filed under the name uncultured bacterium. Its description in RNAcentral is "partial 16S ribosomal RNA". It matches the Rfam family "Bacterial small subunit ribosomal RNA", at positions 338 to 795 of the family's 1533-position model. The record is from RNAcentral.